CAGAAAGCCAGGCGCAUGCACGCGGCGCGCUGCCGCUUCAAGGCGCGGGCGCGAGAGAGAGAGAGAGAGAGAGAGCGCGAGAGCGUGAGUGCGUAUGUGUCACACAUCGCUGAGAAAAGCUUCCGCGUGCCGUCGGUUCGACCUGCUGCAGGAACACAACGCUGAACUUUACUACUGGAAAAUCAGCACCUAUUCCUACAAGGUCAGUAGAUGUUCUAACUUUAUUAUUAUUAUUUAAAUAUGUUUUUGAGUUUUAUUCCCGGUUUUAGUAGUUUUAUUGUGGCAUGUCCAAUAAUGCACGCGCUGAUGGAUGAGCUGUUUGGCGCGCGAGUUGUAAAAGGUGCACAGGAUGAUGCACAGGUAUACUGUGUGGAUAUUUAUGAUCAAAACAAGUUUAACAAAAACAAACAAACAAAAUCCUCUGCCCCUCGUGCACUUGCGGUAGUACUAAUAAUACAGACAGCUCAGUGUUUUAAUAUUAGAGUCUCAUCUCUUAAAAAAGGUGUCUCACCUGUGCUGGGUUUGGUUUCCGGGAAGCGCGUGCGCUGGGAAUUCACGGUUCUUCCCUCAUCAUUGCAUCCUCUUACAGACUAAAAGGCACCCCAUAUCAUUCAGAGUGCACAUGCACGGUGUAAUGCACAUGAUGGAAGGGCAUGGAGUGUCAUUCUGCAGGAGUGUAGCUGUACAUUCACAGAGGAACUUCACUUAAACGUGGAGUUUUCGGUUGAACCUGGAUUACACAAAGUUUCUGGAGAAGGAGGUCGUUUCAGGAGGAGCGCAUGAUCAUAGCUGGGUUUUUUUCUUCUUCCAGGAGAAAGUAGCUAAUGCUUGCUCGAUAAGGUCCCUAGAAGUCCCCAUAUGACACCCUAGACUAAUCUGCGUAUUUAUUCAGUGGCAUAGGAACGUGUUGGAACAUGAAGAUUUUCUGCAAACACUCAGAAUAGAAAUGAGUUAUACCAAAGUACAAGGUAUUAGAUCAUGGGAUCUGGUUUAUAAAAAGAAGGCGUCUUUGGUCAUGGCACCGCAAAAUAUAAUCUCUAGGACGCAGACUGAACGAGGCAGUGGUAGUGAGGUAUCUGGAAAUAGGUAUGAAGGGGAAUCUGUUAAUGUAAUUUUAUUACUGUAAAUAUUGCCAAUAAAUGAUUUUCAGAUGAAGAACAGAAACAUGCUGGUGGGACAAACAGUGGUGAUGAGUGAUUAAUCACUGGUCACCAUUCUUUCUAUUGACCAGUCAUUGGGAACAGUGAGGGUCGGUGAUCAGUCAUGGGGAACAUUAGGAGACCGCUAAUCCUUUCAACACUGACAUCAGAGUGUGUGAGAGGUAACUCGCACCCCGCCGGGUCCGAUAGUGGCCCAGAAAAGCCAAUGACGUCAGACGGGACGGAAAGCGAAGCCUCCCGCGCUCGUCUUCUGUGCUUUUCUAUCAGAGAGGAGCUUUAUAUAGAAAUUGGAAAGAGAGGGAGAGAGAGUUAAUGCAUUCCGACACAGAGGUUGUUUUAAUGUGAUCAAGCACAUUAAGCUUGACCUUGUGUGCUUCUUCUCCUCGCUGUCUCUCUGCUCUAUCUCUUUUCUGUCUUCUCAGGUAAGCGCCGGCGCCUGUGGUUGCGUUACGAGGCCGGCGGCUUCCAUUAGCGCGAGCGAGCGGCUUCUUAAUUUUUCAUGAAACGUAUCCGGAUAAAAGGGAAUAUAUGUAAUCGGAGCGGUCUGGAUAUCCUGCUUCGGCUCACGCAAGACCUGGUGUUGAUUCUUUCCGUGAAAUCUGUGUCAUGCGCUCUUUUUCUUUCUUCUUGAUCCUUUUAUCAUCUUUACUCCAGAUUGUACCAUCUUGAAUUUGACCUGUAUUUUCAGUUCACUGUUCAGCGAUGAAUGCAGCGCUGACCCAGGGCAUCUCAUUUAGAUUUUAUAGCUCAUAGUAGCUCAGCUACAUUACAAGCAGCCUUAAGCACAGUUUUAUAGCAUAAAAAUAAUCUGUCAAAUAAAUUGAUUCCUUCAUUUUCAGUAAGCCCUUUAUCCUGGUCACAGUUGCCGUGAAUCCAGAGCCUAUCCCGGGAACAUUGGGUGCGAAGCGGGAAUAUACCCUACGGAAAGGCAGUUCAUUUACACACACACACAAACACACACAUUCACAUCUAAGGGGAAUUUAGCGUCUACGUACUGGCAUGUCUUUUAAGAGGUGCGAGGAAAGUGGAGAACCCAGAACAUGCGAAAAUUUACAUAGACAGCAACCCAAGCUCAGGAUUCAGCCACACUAGCAGAUGGUUUAUGGAAAGGAUGUGUUCCUGACCCCUUCAAGGACAAAACUUGAGUGCAUCAUCAGCACAUGUUCUGUCCGUGCUCAAAACACGGCGCUUAAAGAUAAUCCCUUCACUGAGGAUGCAGAUCAUUUAGAUUAAAGAUAAUCUGCUCGCACAGAGGGGCAAAUUAUAGCACUGAUCACUAUGUAGGUUAUGAGCAGGACUGUGGAAAUGUCCUCCUCUGAGAUGAUUAGUCAGUGAUGGAUUACGAGCGUUUGGAUAAUUACAAGGUUAAGACCAAGAGCUGAACGCAAAACAACAGUGAUGCCCUUGUGCCCUUAAGUAUAAUCUUAAAAUUAGUAUUUGAUCUAAAUGUGUCGAAUACAUUGUUAUUUCUAUAGUAACAAUUUACACAGGAAUCUUUAUGGUGGACGCUUCAUGUAAUCAAAGCCUAAUACUAAACAGCUAAGAAAAUGUCAUUAUUGUGAUGAUUUGUGUAAGGAGAUUUAUUCAUCCAUUAUACAUUUCUUCAUCUGCGCACCUGUACGAGUCCUUCGUUGCCUUAUGUUGCGCUUCAUAAUGCGUCACACAUUCACAAUCAGAG
Long non-coding RNA from Ictalurus punctatus (channel catfish), 2838 nucleotides. NCBI's taxonomy places the organism in Eukaryota, Metazoa, Chordata, Actinopteri, Siluriformes, Ictaluridae. The record is from Ensembl.